RNAcentral lists this long non-coding RNA (320 nucleotides) under Homo sapiens (human). Its description in RNAcentral is "HSALNT0136022". The record is from RNAcentral. Lineage: Eukaryota; Metazoa; Chordata; Mammalia; Primates; Hominidae.
CCUUCUUGGUGACAAUGUUGCCCUGCUCAUCCGUGAAUUGCUCCUCUGUCACCUGCUCCCCUGGAAUAUUCUGAAACUCAUUCCCCUGGAAUUAGAGUUACCUUCAGGAAGACCCGCCGCCGGACCACCCUGGUGGAGAUGGUCUCCUCGUCGUCACUGAGGCCCUCGCUCUCCCCCAGCUCCUUGUCCAGCUCCUGGUGGAUGUGCUUUAGCACAAAGCACAGGGACCCCCUGACAAUGUGCAUCACGUUCUGACAGCUGACCAGGAAGAAGCUCAGCAGCACCAGCGUGACCAACAGCUGGGUGACGAAAGUCCACAU